GGUUUCCGUAGGUGAACCUGCGGAAGGAUCAUUAA
Molecule: ribosomal RNA, 35 nt
Filed under: Cookeina insititia
Lineage: Eukaryota; Fungi; Ascomycota; Pezizomycetes; Pezizales; Sarcoscyphaceae
Also listed under: 2 other names
Description: partial 18S ribosomal RNA
Source: RNAcentral